Brachypodium distachyon (stiff brome) is the source of this 81-nucleotide non-coding RNA. NCBI's taxonomy places the organism in Eukaryota, Viridiplantae, Streptophyta, Magnoliopsida, Poales, Poaceae. The record is from RefSeq and is marked provisional.
CACUUAUAUCUAGGUUAUUGAUUUGACCAACAAAAUAUAAGUUGUGUUUUGUCGGUUAAAUUGAUGACUUAUGUGCUAUAU